GUGAACGCUGGCGGCAGGCCUAAUACAUGCAAGUCGAACGGCAGCACCGUGGAGCUUGCUCCAUGGGUGGCGAGUGGCGGACGGGUGAGGAAUACAUGGGAAUCUGCCCAGUCGUGGGGGAUAACGUAGGGAAACUUACGCUAAUACCGCAUGCGCCCUUCGGGGGAAAGCCGGGGACCUUCGGGCCUGGCGCGAUUGGAUGAGCCCAUGUUCGAUUAGCUAGUUGGCGGGGUAAAGGCCCACCAAGGCGACGAUCGAUAGCUGGUCUGAGAGGAUGAUCAGCCACACUGGGACUGAGACACGGCCCAGACUCCUACGGGAGGCAGCAGUAGGGAAUAUUGGACAAUGGGCGCAAGCCUGAUCCAGCCAUGCCGCGUGAGUGAAGAAGGCCCUCGGGUUGUAAAGCUCUUUUGUCCGGGAAGAAAAGCAUCGGGCUAAUACCUCGGUGUUCUGACGGUACCGGAAGAAUAAGCACCGGCUAACUUCGUG
Molecule: ribosomal RNA, 489 nt
Filed under: uncultured bacterium
Lineage: Bacteria
Description: partial 16S ribosomal RNA
Rfam family: Bacterial small subunit ribosomal RNA
Source: RNAcentral